RNAcentral lists this unclassified non-coding RNA (413 nucleotides) under Hevea brasiliensis (rubber tree). The record is from RNAcentral. Lineage: Eukaryota; Viridiplantae; Streptophyta; Magnoliopsida; Malpighiales; Euphorbiaceae.
UCAAAGACCAAGUGUAAGAAUUCUCACACAAUUGGUAGUAAGAAUUCUAAUUUGGGAUAUCGCAUUUCUUUCGUGGCAGUUGAAGAGGCCACAAACAACUUCGAUGAGAAUUGGGUUGUUGGUAUUGGUGGUGGGAAGGUGUACAAGGGAGUUUUAAAUGACGGUUCGAAAGUGGCUGUUAAAAUGGCAAAUCCACUCUCCCAACAGGGACUUGCAGAGUUCCGGAAGGAAAUUGAGAUAUUUUCCCAGUUCCGACAUUGCAAUCUAGUUUCAUCAAUUGAUUACUGUGAUGAAAGAAAAGAGAUGAUCUUAAUUUAUGAAUACAUGGAAAAUGGUACUCUAAAAAGUCAUAUCUAUGGCCCAGCACGUCCAAACUUGAGUUGGAAGAAAAGGCUUGAGAUAUGUAUUGGAGC